This 392-nucleotide ribosomal RNA is filed under the name uncultured bacterium. RNAcentral describes it as "bacterial SSU rRNA". It matches the Rfam family "Bacterial small subunit ribosomal RNA", at positions 30 to 412 of the family's 1533-position model. The record is from RNAcentral.
AGCGAACGCUGGCGGUAUGCUUAACACAUGCAAGUCGAGCGCGAAAGUGACUUCGGUCAUAAGUAGAGCGGCGGACGGGUGAGUAACACGUGGAUAAUCUGCCUUUAGGACUGGGAUAACCCUGGGAAACUAGGGCUAAUACCGGAUAAGACCACAGGUUCCAUGGAACCAGGGGUAAAGGCGGCCUUCGGGCUGUCGCCGAAAGAUGAGUCCGCGUCCCAUCAGGUAGUUGGUGAGGAACGGCUCACCAAGCCGAAGACGGGUAGCCGGCCUGAGAGGGCGACCGGCCACACUGGGACUGAGACACGGCCCAGACUCCUACGGGAGGCAGCAGUGGGGAAUCUUGCGCAAUGGGCGAAAGCCUGACGCAGCGACGCCGCGUGAGGGAUGAC